Molecule: ribosomal RNA, 484 nt
Filed under: uncultured bacterium
Lineage: Bacteria
Description: partial 16S ribosomal RNA
Rfam family: Bacterial small subunit ribosomal RNA
Source: RNAcentral
AUUGAACGCUGGCGGCAUGCUUUACACAUGCAAGUCGAACGGCAGCGCGGGCUUCGGCCUGGCGGCGAGUGGCGAACGGGUGAGUAAUGCAUCGGAACGUGCCCAGUAGUGGGGGAUAGCCCGGCGAAAGCCGGAUUAAUACCGCAUACGACCUGAGGGUGAAAGCGGGGGACCGAAAGGCCUCGCGCUAUUGGAGCGGCCGAUGUCGGAUUAGCUAGUUGGUGGGGUAAAGGCUUACCAAGGCGACGAUCCGUAGCUGGUCUGAGAGGACGACCAGCCACACUGGGACUGAGACACGGCCCAGACUCCUACGGGAGGCAGCAGUGGGGAAUUUUGGACAAUGGGGGCAACCCUGAUCCAGCCAUGCCGCGUGCGGGAAGAAGGCCUUCGGGUUGUAAACCGCUUUUGUUCGGGAAGUAAUCCUCUGGGCUAAUACCCCGGGGGGAUGACGGUACCGGAAGAAUAAGCACCGGCUAACUACGUG